This 494-nucleotide ribosomal RNA is filed under the name uncultured bacterium. RNAcentral's name for it is "partial 16S ribosomal RNA". It matches the Rfam family "Bacterial small subunit ribosomal RNA", at positions 28 to 523 of the family's 1533-position model. The record is from RNAcentral.
GAUGAACGCUAGCGGCAGGCUUAACACAUGCAAGUCGAGGGGUAUAGGUUUUCGGACCUGGAGACCGGCGCACGGGUGCGUAACGCGUAUGCAAUCUACCUUUUACAGAGGGAUAGCCCAGAGAAAUUUGGAUUAAUACCUCAUAGUGUAAUGAUUCGGCAUCGAGACAUUAUUAAAGUUCCAACGGUAAAAGAUGAGCAUGCGUCCCAUUAGCUAGAUGGUAAGGUAACGGCUUACCAUGGCGACGAUGGGUAGGGGUCCUGAGAGGGAGAUCCCCCACACUGGUACUGAGACACGGACCAGACUCCUACGGGAGGCAGCAGUGAGGAAUAUUGGUCAAUGGGCGCAAGCCUGAACCAGCCAUGCCGCGUGCAGGAUGAAGCAUCUAUGGUGUGUAAACUGCUUUUGUACGGGAAGAAACACUGCUACGUGUAGCAGCUUGACGGUACCGUAAGAAUAAGGAUCGGCUAACUCCGUGCCAGCCGCCGCAGUAA